CCCUUAGACGCUCUAGGCGACACGCGCGCUACAAUGGGUGGUAGAACGUGUAACUGCUCCCGAAAGGGAGGGUGAACCACGAAUACUUACCCGUGAAUGGGAUAGUUUGUUGCAAUUUUCGGACUUGAACUAGGAAUCCCUUGUAAGAAUGCUCAAGAAUAGCGUGCUGAAUACGUCCCUGCCGUUUGUACACACCGCCCGUCGUUUCUUCCGACUGAUACUCAUUGUGAGUUGCAAGGAUUCUUAUUGAAAAAUUGCUGCGAAUGCUUUGUAUUGGAGGAAGAAAAAGUCGUAACA
RNAcentral lists this ribosomal RNA (297 nucleotides) under uncultured eukaryote. Its description in RNAcentral is "partial 18S ribosomal RNA". It matches the Rfam family "Eukaryotic small subunit ribosomal RNA", at positions 1470 to 1796 of the family's 1831-position model. The record is from RNAcentral.